RNAcentral lists this ribosomal RNA (229 nucleotides) under uncultured bacterium. RNAcentral's name for it is "partial 16S ribosomal RNA". It matches the Rfam family "Bacterial small subunit ribosomal RNA", at positions 568 to 795 of the family's 1533-position model. The record is from RNAcentral.
UGCGUAGGCGGUUUGAUAAGUCAGUUGUGAAAUUCCCCGGCUUAACCGGCGGGACUGCGAUUGAUACUGUCAAACUUGAAUCAGGUUGAGGUAGGCGGAAUGUGGCAUGUAGCGGUGAAAUGCAUAGAUAUGCCAUAGAACGCCGAUUGCGAAGGCAGCUUGCUGGACCUUGAUUGACGCUGAGGCACGAAAGCGUGGGGAGCGAACAGGAUUAGAUACCCUGGUAGUC